UCUCGCCUUUAUAUUGGCCCAAGUGGGAUUAUCUAGUUGGGGAGGUAAUGGCUCACCAAGGCGACAAUCCCUAUCUGGUUUGAGAGGAUGAUCACCCACACUGGGACUGAGACACGGCCCACACUCCUACGGGAGGCAGCAGUGGGGAAUAUUGCACAAUGGGCGCAAGCCUGAUGCACCCAUGCCGCGUGUGUGAGAAAGGCCUUCGGGUUGUAAAGCACUUUCAGUCAGGAGGAAAGGUUAGUAUUUAAUACCUGCUAUCUGUGACGUUACUGACAGAAGAAGCACCGGCUAACUCCGUGCCAGCAGCCGCGGUAAUACGGAGGGUGCGAGCGUUAAUCGGAAUUACUGGGCGUAAAGCGUACGCAGGCGGUUUGUUAAGCGAGAUGUGAAAGCCCCGGGCUCAACCUGGGAACUGCAUUUCUAACUGGCAAACUAUAGUGUGAUAGAGGGUGGUAUAAUUUCAGGUGUAGCGGUGAAAUGCGUAUAGAUCUGAAAGAAUACCGAUGGCGAAAGCGGCCACCUGGGUCAACACUGACGCUCAUGUACGAAAGCGUGGGGAGCAAACAGGAUUAGAUACCCUGGUAGUCCACGCCGUAAACGAUGUCUACUAGAAGCUCGGAACCUCGGUUCUGUUUUUCAAAGCUAACGCAUUAAGUAGACCGCCUGGGGG
This 673-nucleotide ribosomal RNA is filed under the name Pseudoalteromonas sp. D48. Its description in RNAcentral is "bacterial SSU rRNA". It matches the Rfam family "Bacterial small subunit ribosomal RNA", at positions 213 to 879 of the family's 1533-position model. The record is from RNAcentral. Lineage: Bacteria; Pseudomonadati; Pseudomonadota; Gammaproteobacteria; Alteromonadales; Pseudoalteromonadaceae.